UACGAAGGGGGCGAGCGUUGUUCGGAUUUACUGGGCGUAAAGGGCGCGCAGGCGGCUCAUUUUGUCAGGCGUGAAAGCCCCGGGCUUAACCUGGGAACUGCGUUUGAUACGGAUGGGCUAGAGUUCGGGAGAGGAGCGUGGAAUUCCCAGUGUAGAGGUGAAAUUCGUAGAUAUUGGGAAGAACACCGGUGGCGAAGGCGGCAACCUGGUCCUUGACUGACGCUGAGGCGCGAAAGCGUGGGGAGCAAACAGG
This 253-nucleotide ribosomal RNA is filed under the name uncultured bacterium. Its description in RNAcentral is "partial 16S ribosomal RNA". It matches the Rfam family "Bacterial small subunit ribosomal RNA", at positions 524 to 776 of the family's 1533-position model. The record is from RNAcentral.